This 63-nucleotide transfer RNA is filed under the name Tropidothorax cruciger. RNAcentral describes it as "tRNA-His". Lineage: Eukaryota; Metazoa; Arthropoda; Insecta; Hemiptera; Lygaeidae. The record is from RNAcentral.
ACUUAGAUAGUUUAAUUAGAAUAAUAAUUUGUGGUGUUAUGGGUGAUUGUAAAUCUCUAGGUU